GUUUUAUACUUAUUAUUAAUUUUUCUUGUUGAAAUCUUUUAAAUAUGAGUACUUAUUUAUUAUUUACUAAUAAUUUUGAGUUAAAAAUAUAUAAUAGUUAUAGUAAGAAAGAAAAAUUAUUAUUGUGGAGUGUACGAAAAGUGUCGGUAUCAACACACUUGUCCGACACAAACACACUACCUUAGUUAGAGUGCCUUUGCUACAGAAAGAGGAAGCAAUACGACUUUAAGAUAGUCUUGACGUGACCGGCUAAUGUUUGCUUUCUAACUCUUCUUAUGUUAUUGUUGAACUGAGUUUAUUUUAUUUAUAAUUGAUUAUCUACACAUAAAUCACCUGUUUUCCCCAACAAUCUAAAGUCAUAUUCAUAAUAUUUUGGUGAUUGAGUCUGGAUUUGACCAUUUUGUGCAUAAUAUUUGGGCGAGGAGAAGUAAUACCUGUGGCGAGAGGAUGAGAAGUGAAGUCCUAGGGAAUCAUAAUUCUACAGAUAAGUUUUCUCUUCCAUUCUUCGUCAGAGUGAUAAUUUUGGAUUGAUGAACAUUGUUAAGACAAUUGUUAGCCUGGUUUGUAUCAAUGAUGAAAAAAUGUUGCAUUGAAUUUCUCAAAUAUAUAUGUGCAUAUUUCUUUAGUAUCACAUGGAAUAACUUCCGUAAAAAUUCUUAUGUUGCCACCUAAUGUUGGCAAUUCUGGCCUCUGGGAUUAAGAAUGUAAUGUGAAUUCCUUAAACACCUUUUCAAUUGUUUGAUCAUGGUAUUCAGUCACUAUGUACCAUGAGCUGGUUGAUAUUUACUAAGUUGUUUCACAAAGAAUGUGCUUGGAAUGUUUUAAAAGUCAUUUGACUGGAGCCAUUAUCUUAUUUUGAUGUAUGUCCAACUAUGAAGUUGUGGGAAUCUGCAUUUUGUCAGGACCAAUUGAUAACUUAUAAGCAGAGGCACAUUUAUGUUUUGAUGGAAAUAAAUGGUGGCCUUAGACUAUAGUUGAUGGAUGUUGCAUUAUUCUUUGAAAUGGUUUUCUCUUACCAAGGGCAAAUGAGCUACAGAUUAUGAUAUUUUGGAUUUUGUUAGCAAAAAUGUUUUCUGACCUAUUAAGAAAACUUAGUAACAAAUACAUUAGAUAAAUGCGUGGGUAAUGCAAGUAUAACCUCUUAAUUUUUUGGAAUUUCUUGUUAUGUAUUUAAGAUUUCAGGUGCAUUUAUACAUAUAUGGCAUAGCUAGGUGGAGCAAUAAGCCAUGGCAGAUCACCCUGUUAAGCGUGAAAAUUAUGUUUUCUUGAUAUGUAGCAAAGAAGUUCUCUUCAUCAUGAUGUUAGUACUUUUAGAUGCAUUAACUUUAUGAAAUAGAAAUACUUCUACGAGAUAUGGAACAUAUUAUAUGUGCACACAUUUAUCAUAACAAUUUAUAGUUGUAAAUUUUAGUUUAUGAGAUAGUUCCAUUUUUUGGUAUUCAUAAUAUAUACUAUAAAAUAAAAAACGAUGGAAUAUUUGCUCUUGAUUUGGCUUGUCCAAGUCUUAAAGGAGGCUGGAUGGAUAAUGUGUCCAAG
Molecule: long non-coding RNA, 1536 nt
Filed under: Olea europaea subsp. europaea
Lineage: Eukaryota; Viridiplantae; Streptophyta; Magnoliopsida; Lamiales; Oleaceae
Source: RNAcentral